AUGCAGUCGAACGAUGAAGCCCAGCUUGCUGGGUGGAUUAGUGGCGAACGGGUGAGUAACACGUGAGUAACCUGCCCUUAACUCUGGGAUAAGCCUGGGAAACUGGGUCUAAUACCGGAUAGGAGCGUCCACCGCAUGGUGGGUGUUGGAAAGAUUUAUCGGUUUUGGAUGGACUCGCGGCCUAUCAGCUUGUUGGUGAGGUAAUGGCUCACCAAGGCGACGACGGGUAGCCGGCCUGAGAGGGUGACCGGCCACACUGGGACUGAGACACGGCCCAGACUCCUACGGGAGGCAGCAGUGGGGAAUAUUGCACAAUGGGCGAAAGCCUGAUGCAGCGACGCCGCGUGAGGGAUGACGGCCUUCGGGUUGUAAACCUCUUUCAGUAGGGAAGAAGCGAAAGUGACGGUACCUGCAGAAGAAGCACCGGCUAACUACGUGCCAGCAGCCGCGGUAAUACGUAGGGUGCGAGCGUUAUCCGGAAUUAUUGGGCGUAAAGAGCUCGUAGGCGGUUUGUCGCGUCUGUCGUGAAAGUCCGGGGCUUAACCCCGGAUCUGCGGUGGGUACGGGCAGACUAGAGUGCAGUAGGGGAGACUGGAAUUCCUGGUGUAGCGGUGGAAUGCGCAGAUAUCAGGAGGAACACCGAUGGCGAAGGCAGGUCUCUGGGCUGUAACUGACGCUGAGGAGCGAAAGCAUGGGGAGCGAACAGGAUUAGAUACCCUGGUAGUCCAUGCCGUAAACGUUGGGCACUAGGUGUGGGGACCAUUCCACGGUUUCCGCGCCGCAGCUAACGCAUUAAGUGCCCCGCCUGGGGAGUACGGCCGCAAGGCUAAAACUCAAAGGAAUUGACGGGGGCCCGCACAAGCGGCGGAGCAUGCGGAUUAAUUCGAUGCAACGCGAAGAACCUUACCAAGGCUUGACAUGUUCUCGAUCGCCGUAGAGAUACGGUUUCCCCUUUGGGGCGGGUUCACAGGUGGUGCAUGGUUGUCGUCAGCUCGGGUCGUGAGAUGUUGGGUUAAGUCCCGCAACGAGCC
Molecule: ribosomal RNA, 1031 nt
Rfam family: Bacterial small subunit ribosomal RNA